GACGAACGCUGGCGGCGUGCCUAAUACAUGCAAGUAGAACGCACAGUUUAUACCGUAGCUUGCUACACCAUAAACUGUGAGUUGCGAACGGGUGAGUAACGCGUAGGUAACCUGCCUGGUAGCGGGGGAUAACUAUUGGAAACGAUAGCUAAUACCGCAUAAUAUUGAUUAUUGCAUGAUAAUUGAUUGAAAGAUGCUAUUGCAUCACUACCAGAUGGACCUGCGUUGUAUUAGCUAGUAGGUGAGGUAACGGCUCACCUAGGCGACGAUACAUAGCCGACCUGAGAGGGUGAUCGGCCACACUGGGACUGAGACACGGCCCAGACUCCUACGGGAGGCAGCAGUAGGGAAUCUUCGGCAAUGGACGAAAGUCUGACCGAGCAACGCCGCGUGAGUGAAGAAGGUUUUCGGAUCGUAAAGCUCUGUCGUAAGAGAAGAACGGGUGUGAGAGUGGAAAGUUCACACUGUGAC
RNAcentral lists this ribosomal RNA (471 nucleotides) under Streptococcus gordonii. RNAcentral describes it as "bacterial SSU rRNA". It matches the Rfam family "Bacterial small subunit ribosomal RNA", at positions 28 to 473 of the family's 1533-position model. Lineage: Bacteria; Bacillati; Bacillota; Bacilli; Lactobacillales; Streptococcaceae. The record is from RNAcentral.